GCUGGGCAUUAUGGCAAGUGCCUGUAGUCCCAGCUACUUGGGAGGCUGAGGCAAGAGAAUUGCUUAAGCCCAGGAGUUGGAGGUUGCUGUGAGCUGUGAUGCCACAGCACUCUACCUAGGGUGACAGCUUGAGGCUCUGUCUCAAAAAAAAAGCAACCAAUAAGUAUUUAUUUCUGUUUUUUUUUUUUUUUCUGAGACAGUGUCUUACUAUGUCACCCUCGGUAGAGGGCUGUGGUAUCACAGCUCACAAAAACCUCAAACUCUUGGGCUAAAGCAAUUCUCUUGCCUCAG
Otolemur garnettii (small-eared galago) is the source of this 291-nucleotide non-coding RNA. The record is from Rfam. NCBI's taxonomy places the organism in Eukaryota, Metazoa, Chordata, Mammalia, Primates, Galagidae.